RNAcentral lists this ribosomal RNA (253 nucleotides) under uncultured bacterium. RNAcentral describes it as "partial 16S ribosomal RNA". It matches the Rfam family "Bacterial small subunit ribosomal RNA", at positions 524 to 776 of the family's 1533-position model. The record is from RNAcentral.
UACGGGGGGGGCAAGCGUUGUUCGGAAUUACUGGGCGUAAAGGGCUUGUAGGUGGCCAACUAAGUCAGACGUGAAAUCCCUCGGCUUAACCGGGGAACUGCGUCUGAUACUGGAUGGCUUGAGUGUGGGAGAGGGAUGCGGAAUUCCAGGUGUAGCGGUGAAAUGCGUAGAUAUCUGGAGGAACACCGGAGGCGAAAGCGGUCCACUGGGCAACUUCUGACGCUGAGGUGCGAAAGCUAGGGUAGCAAACGGG